AGUGGCGAACGGGUGAGUAACACGUGAGUAACCUGCCCUUGACUCUGGGAUAAGCCUGGGAAACUGGGUCUAAUACCGGAUAUGACCGUCUGACGCAUGUCAGGUGGUGGAAAGCUUUUGUGGUUUUGGAUGGACUCGCGGCCUAUCAGCUUGUUGGUGGGGUAAUGGCCUACCAAGGCGACGACGGGUAGCCGGCCUGAGAGGGUGACCGGCCACACUGGGACUGAGACACGGCCCAGACUCCUACGGGAGGCAGCAGUGGGGAAUAUUGCACAAUGGGCGCAAGCCUGAUGCAGCGACGCCGCGUGAGGGAUGACGGCCUUCGGGUUGUAAACCUCUUUCAGUAGGGAAGAAGCGAAAGUGACGGUACCUGCAGAAGAAGCGCCGGCUAACUACGUGCCAGCAGCCGCGGUAAUACGUAGGGCGCAAGCGUUAUCCGGAAUUAUUGGGCGUAAAGAGCUCGUAGGCGGUUUGUCGCGUCUGCUGUGAAAGACCGGGGCUCAACUCCGGUUCUGCAGUGGGUACGGGCAGACUAGAGUGAUGUAGGGGAGACUGGAAUUCCUGGUGUAGCGGUGAAAUGCGCAGAUAUCAGGAGGAACACCGAUGGCGAAGGCAGGUCUCUGGGCAUUAACUGACGCUGAGGAGCGAAAGCAUGGGGAGCGAACAGGAUUAGAUACCCU
This 680-nucleotide ribosomal RNA is filed under the name Paenarthrobacter nitroguajacolicus. Its description in RNAcentral is "bacterial SSU rRNA". It matches the Rfam family "Bacterial small subunit ribosomal RNA", at positions 94 to 788 of the family's 1533-position model. Lineage: Bacteria; Bacillati; Actinomycetota; Actinomycetes; Micrococcales; Micrococcaceae. The record is from RNAcentral.